UGUCCCUCCUCUCCUUUCCCAG
This 22-nucleotide microRNA is filed under the name Monodelphis domestica (gray short-tailed opossum). RNAcentral describes it as "mdo-miR-12386-3p". The record is from miRBase by way of RNAcentral. Lineage: Eukaryota; Metazoa; Chordata; Mammalia; Didelphimorphia; Didelphidae.